Molecule: ribosomal RNA, 1246 nt
Filed under: uncultured Chloroflexota bacterium
Lineage: Bacteria; Bacillati; Chloroflexota
Description: bacterial SSU rRNA
Rfam family: Bacterial small subunit ribosomal RNA
Source: RNAcentral
GAGUAUCGUGCCCUCCGGUGGGGUAUAGCCUCGGGAAACUGAGAGUUAUCCCGCAUACGAUCCGGUGGCCUUGGUUGCCGGAUGAAAGCCUUCGGGCGCCGGAGGAGCGGCUCGCGUCCUAUCAGGUAGUUGGUGAGGUAACGGCUCACCAAGCCGAUGACGGGUAGCUGGUCUUAGAGGACGAUCAGCCAGAGGGGGACUGAGACACGGCCCCCACUCCUACGGGAGGCAGCAGCAGGGAAUUUUGGGCAAUGGGCGAAAGCCUGACCCAGCGACGUCACGUGGGGGAUGAAGGCCUUAGGGCUGCAAACCCCUUUUCCCGGGGAAGAGAAAGGACGGUACCCGGGGAAUAAGCUCCGGCUAACUACGUGCCAGCUGCCGCGGUAAUACGUAAGGAGCAAGCGUUACCCGGAAUUACUGGGCGUAAAGAGCGCGUAGGCGGCUUGGUAAGUCUCUUGUGAAAGCUCCCGGCUCAACUGGAGAGGUCAAGGGAUACUACCUCGCUUGAGGGCGGUAGAGGCAAAGCGGAAUUUCCCGGUGUAGCGGUGAAAUGCGUAGAUAUCGGGAGGAACACCAGUGGCGAAGGCGGGUUUCUGGGCCGUGCCUGACGCGAGGCGCGAGAGCGUGGGGAGCAAACUGGAUUAGAUACCCAGGUAGUCCACGCCCUAAACGAUGAAUGCUAGGUACAGCGGGUAUCGACCCCUGCUGUUCCGAAGCUAACGCGAUAAGCAUUCCGCAUGGGGAGUACGGCCGCAAGGCUAAAUCUCAAAGGAAUUGACGGGGGCCCGCACAAGCAGCGGAGCGUGUUGUUCAAUUCGAUGGCAAGCGAAGAACCUUACCAGGGCUUGACAUGUUUCCGACAGUCCCCGAAAGGGGAUCUUCCUUCGGGACGGAUUCACAGAUGUUGCAUGGUCGUCGUCAGCUCGUGUCGUGAGAUGUUGGGUUAAGUCCCGCAACGAGCGCAACCCUUGUCGUUAGUUACCUUGUCUAGCGAGACUGCAUGUAAAAAACAUGAGGAAGGUGGGGAUGACGUCAGAUCAGCACGGCUCUUACGUCCUGGGCUACAAACACGCUACAAUGGCCUGAACAAAGGGUCGCCAAGGCGCAAGCCGGAGCCAAUCCCACAAAUCAGGCCUCAGUUGGAAUUGCAGGCUGAAACUCGCCUGCAUGAACGUGGAGCUGCUAGUAACCGCAGGUCAGCACACUGCGGUGAAUACGUUCCCGGGCCUUGUACACACCGCCCGUA